AAGUCGUAACAAGGUUUCCGUAGGUGAACCUGCGGAAGGAUCAUUAACACGUAUCCAACGUUAAAACCCCCCCGUGAACCUUCAGUGUGCUCGUACGCUUUGUUAGAAAGUAGCAAUCCCUGGUAAAUCAUCGCCGAACAGUUUUGAUUCAGGGACUUCUGCGAAGUGGCCUGGCAUCCUUGUCUGAAAGUGUCAAGGGUGGCGCAGUCACGAUCGCUAGAGGCCGACACGGCCGGCGACCGGGUCACCGGGCUCACGCCCCUUAAUAACCUUUGCAUGAAAACGGGCCUGCGCUUAAUUGUGCGGCCAUAAACCGAACAACUGUUAACAAUGGAUAUCUUGGUUCUC
Molecule: unclassified non-coding RNA, 348 nt
Filed under: fungal sp.
Lineage: Eukaryota; Fungi
Description: partial internal transcribed spacer region
Rfam family: Eukaryotic small subunit ribosomal RNA (bases 1-46)
Source: RNAcentral